This 739-nucleotide ribosomal RNA is filed under the name uncultured bacterium. RNAcentral's name for it is "bacterial SSU rRNA". It matches the Rfam family "Bacterial small subunit ribosomal RNA", at positions 102 to 857 of the family's 1533-position model. The record is from RNAcentral.
ACGGGUGAGUAACGCGUGAGCAACCUGCCUUUCAGAGGGGGAUAACGUUUGGAAACGAACGCUAAUACUGCAUGAUAUUAUUGAGCUGCAUGGCUUGAUAAUCAAAGGAGCAAUCCGCUGAAAGAUGGGCUCGCGUCCGAUUAGGUAGUUGGCGGGGCAACGGCCCACCAAGCCGACGAUCGGUAGCCGGACUGAGAGGUUGAACGGCCACAUUGGGACUGAGACACGGCCCAGACUCCUACGGGAGGCAGCAGUGAGGGAUAUUGGUCAAUGGGGGAAACCCUGAACCAGCAACGCCGCGUGAGGGAAGACGGUUUUCGGAUUGUAAACCUCUGUCCUCUGUGAAGAUGAUGACGGUAGCAGAGGAGGAAGCUCCGGCUAACUACGUGCCAGCAGCCGCGGUAAUACGUAGGGAGCAAGCGUUGUCCGGAUUUACUGGGUGUAAAGGGUGCGUAGGCGGCUUUGCAAGUCAGAAGUGAAAUCCAUGGGCUUAACCCAUGAACUGCUUUUGAAACUGCAGAGCUUGAGUGGAGUAGAGGUAGGCGGAAUUCCCGGUGUAGCGGUGAAAUGCGUAGAGAUCGGGAGGAACACCAGUGGCGAAGGCGGCCUGCUGGGCUCUAACUGACGCUGAGGCACGAAAGCGUGGGUAGCAAACAGGAUUAGAUACCCUGGUAGUCCACGCUGUAAACGAUGAUUACUAGGUGUGGGUGGACUGACCCCAUCCGUGCCGGAGUUAACA